CAUCUUUAACACCUGUUCGCAUAAAAAUUGUCAACUAGCAGGUAACAACAUCUAAAGAUUAAGUUCUUCUAAAAAUUCGGGAAAAACACAAAGUAACCAAUAUAAACACAAAGAACCAAUGUCAAGUAGGAUUACAAGACAGAAGUACACAAAAUUUACAAAUUUUUUACGUGGUCUAGGUGGCAAAGCAGAUGGGUUAGGAAGUAGAAAAUAAAUCGCGGUAAUGUUUAGUCAUUGUUAUAUUUAUGUGUUUUGCUAAUUUGAUUUGCCUGCAUUUCUCAUGUUUCAUGUGGUUCGUAUGAAACCUAG
Molecule: unclassified non-coding RNA, 309 nt
Filed under: Hevea brasiliensis (rubber tree)
Lineage: Eukaryota; Viridiplantae; Streptophyta; Magnoliopsida; Malpighiales; Euphorbiaceae
Source: RNAcentral